Molecule: ribosomal RNA, 2669 nt
Filed under: Salmonella enterica subsp. enterica serovar Enteritidis
Lineage: Bacteria; Pseudomonadati; Pseudomonadota; Gammaproteobacteria; Enterobacterales; Enterobacteriaceae
Description: partial 23S ribosomal RNA
Rfam family: Bacterial large subunit ribosomal RNA
Source: RNAcentral
AAUCCAUAGGUUAAUGAGGCGAACCGGGGGAACUGAAACAUCUAAGUACCCCGAGGAAAAGAAAUCAACCGAGAUUCCCCCAGUAGCGGCGAGCGAACGGGGAGGAGCCCAGAGCCUGAAUCAGCAUGUGUGUUAGUGGAAGCGUCUGGAAAGGCGCGCGAUACAGGGUGACAGCCCCGUACACAAAAGCGCAUGUGCUGUGAGCUCGAUGAGUAGGGCGGGACACGUGGUAUCCUGUCUGAAUAUGGGGGGACCAUCCUCCAAGGCUAAAUACUCCUGACUGACCGAUAGUGAACCAGUACCGUGAGGGAAAGGCGAAAAGAACCCCGGCGAGGGGAGUGAAAAAGAACCUGAAACCGUGUACGUACAAGCAGUGGGAGCACCCUUUGGGUGUGACUGCGUACCUUUUGUAUAAUGGGUCAGCGACUUAUAUUCUGUAGCAAGGUUAACCGAAUAGGGGAGCCGGAGGGAAACCGAGUCUUAACCGGGCGUUAAGUUGCAGGGUAUAGACCCGAAACCCGGUGAUCUAGCCAUGGGCAGGUUGAAGGUUGGGUAACACUAACUGGAGGACCGAACCGACUAAUGUUGAAAAAUUAGCGGAUGACCUGUGGCUGGGGGUGAAAGGCCAAUCAAACCGGGAGAUAGCUGGUUCUCCCCGAAAGCUAUUUAGGUAGCGCCUCGUGAAUUCAUCUCCGGGGGUAGAGCACUGUUUCGGCUAGGGGGCCAUCCCGGCUUACCAACCCGAUGCAAACUGCGAAUACCGGAGAAUGUUAUCACGGGAGACACACGGCGGGUGCUAACGUCCGUCGUGAAGAGGGAAACAACCCAGACCGCCAGCUAAGGUCCCAAAGUCAUGGUUAAGUGGGAAACGAUGUGGGAAGGCCCAGACAGCCAGGAUGUUGGCUUAGAAGCAGCCAUCAUUUAAAGAAAGCGUAAUAGCUCACUGGUCGAGUCGGCCUGCGCGGAAGAUGUAACGGGGCUAAACCAUGCACCGAAGCUGCGGCAGCGACACUGUGUGUUGUUGGGUAGGGGAGCGUUCUGUAAGCCUGUGAAGGUGUGUCGUGAGGCAUGCUGGAGGUAUCAGAAGUGCGAAUGCUGACAUAAGUAACGAUAAAGCGGGUGAAAAGCCCGCUCGCCGGAAGACCAAGGGUUCCUGUCCAACGUUAAUCGGGGCAGGGUGAGUCGACCCCUAAGGCGAGGCCGAAAGGCGUAGUCGAUGGGAAACGGGUUAAUAUUCCCGUACUUGGUGUUACUGCGAAGGGGGGACGGAGAAGGCUAUGUUGGCCGGGCGACGGUUGUCCCGGUUUAAGCGUGUAGGUGUGUGUUCCAGGUAAAUCCGGUUCACUUUAACACUGAGGCGUGACGACGAGGCACUACGGUGCUGAAGCAACAAAUGCCCUGCUUCCAGGAAAAGCCUCUAAGCAUCAGGUAACAUCAAAUCGUACCCCAAACCGACACAGGUGGUCAGGUAGAGAAUACCAAGGCGCUUGAGAGAACUCGGGUGAAGGAACUAGGCAAAAUGGUGCCGUAACUUCGGGAGAAGGCACGCUGACACGUAGGUGAAGUGAUUUACUCAUGGAGCUGAAGUCAGUCGAAGAUACCAGCUGGCUGCAACUGUUUAUUAAAAACACAGCACUGUGCAAACACGAAAGUGGACGUAUACGGUGUGACGCCUGCCCGGUGCCGGAAGGUUAAUUGAUGGGGUCAGCGCAAGCGAAGCUCCUGAUCGAAGCCCCGGUAAACGGCGGCCGUAACUAUAACGGUCCUAAGGUAGCGAAAUUCCUUGUCGGGUAAGUUCCGACCUGCACGAAUGGCGUAAUGAUGGCCAGGCUGUCUCCACCCGAGACUCAGUGAAAUUGAACUCGCUGUGAAGAUGCAGUGUACCCGCGGCAAGACGGAAAGACCCCGUGAACCUUUACUAUAGCUUGACACUGAACAUUGAGCCUUGAUGUGUAGGAUAGGUGGGAGGCUUUGAAGUGUGGACGCCAGUCUGCAUGGAGCCGACCUUGAAAUACCACCCUUUAAUGUUUGAUGUUCUAACGUGGACCCGUUACCCGGGUUGCGGACAGUGUCUGGUGGGUAGUUUGACUGGGGCGGUCUCCUCCUAAAGAGUAACGGAGGAGCACGAAGGUUGGCUAAUCCUGGUCGGACAUCAGGAGGUUAGUGCAAUGGCAUAAGCCAGCUUGACUGCGAGCGUGACGGCGCGAGCAGGUGCGAAAGCAGGUCAUAGUGAUCCGGUGGUUCUGAAUGGAAGGGCCAUCGCUCAACGGAUAAAAGGUACUCCGGGGAUAACAGGCUGAUACCGCCCAAGAGUUCAUAUCGACGGCGGUGUUUGGCACCUCGAUGUCGGCUCAUCACAUCCUGGGGCUGAAGUAGGUCCCAAGGGUAUGGCUGUUCGCCAUUUAAAGUGGUACGCGAGCUGGGUUUAGAACGUCGUGAGACAGUUCGGUCCCUAUCUGCCGUGGGCGCUGGAGAACUGAGGGGGGCUGCUCCUAGUACGAGAGGACCGGAGUGGACGCAUCACUGGUGUUCGGGUUGUCAUGCCAAUGGCACUGCCCGGUAGCUAAAUGCGGAAGAGAUAAGUGCUGAAAGCAUCUAAGCACGAAACUUGCCCCGAGAUGAGUUCUCCCUGAGACUUUAGGUCUCCUGAAGGAACGUUGAAGACGACG